GCAAGGACAUGGAAUCCGCCCAAAUGCCUGUCAAUGACAGACUGGAUUAAGAAAAUAUGGUACAGACGCUGACCAAAACCUGUGGUCAUGGCAAACCAGGUUAUCAAGUGCAAGGCUACAGUUGCCUGGGAGGCUGGAAAGCCUCUCUCCUUAAAGGAGAUAGAGGUGGAACCCCCAAAGGCUCAUGAAGUUCAAAUCAAGAUCAUUGCCACUGCAGUUUGCCACACCGACGCCUAUACUCUGAGCGGAGGUGAUUCUGAGGGUUGUUUUCCAGUGAUCUUGGGACAUGAAGGUGCUGGAAUUGUGGAAAGUGUUGGCGGGAGAGUUCCUAAGCUGAAGGCAGGUGACACUGUCAUCCCACUUUACAUCCCACAGUGUGGACAAUGAAAUUUUGUCUAAAUCCUAAAACUAACCUUUGCCAGAAGGUAAGAGUCACUCCAGGGAAAGGAUUCGUGCCAGAUGGUACCGGCGGAUUUACUUGCAAAGGAAAGACGAUUUUACAUUACAUGGGAACCGGCACAUCUUCUGAAUACACAGUUGUGGCUGAUAUCUCUGCUGCUAAAAUAGAUCCUUUGGCACCUUUGGAUAAAGUGUGCCUUCUAGGUUGUGGCAUCUCAACUGGUUAUGGUGCUGCUGUGCACACUGCCAAGGUGGAGUCUGGCUCUGCUUGUGCUGUCUUUGGCCUGGGAGGAGUUGGAUUGGCAGUUAUAGUGGGCUGCAAGGUGGCUGGUGCAUCCCAGAUCAUUGGUGUGGACAUCAGUAAAGAUAAAUGAACAAGGGCCAAAGAGUUGGGAGCCACUGAAUGUAUUAACCCUUAGGAUUUUAGUAGGCCUAUCCAGGAAGUGCCCACUGAGAUGACUGAUGGAGAAGUGGACUAUUCCUUUGGAUGUAUUGGUAAUAGGAAGGUCAUGAGAGCAGCACUUGAGGCAUGUCACAAGGGCUGAGGCGUCAGCGUGGUGAUUUGGAGUAGCUGCUUCAGGUGGAGAAAUUGCCAAUCGUCCAUUACAGCUGGUAACAGGUGGCACAUGGAACGGCACUGCCUUCGGAGGAUGGAAGAGUGCAGAAAAUGCCCCAAAGUUGGUGUCUGAAUAUAUGUCCAAAAAGAUAAAAGUUGACGACUUUGUGACUCACAAUCUGUCUUUUGAUGAAAUUAACAAAGCCUUUGAACUGAUGCAUUCUGGAAAGAGCAUUCGAACUGUUGUAAAGAUUUAAUUCAAAAGAGAAAAAUAACAUCCAUCCUGUGGUGACACGACGGGAGCAGCCUAACAGGCAGGGAGAAGCGCCUCCAAGCUCGCAGCGUCAUAGACCUUCAGCAGCUACUCCACACAAUCGUGUGAUAUGUGUAAUUCCUGAAGCUCUGUAAUCAAGGACAGGGAUAAUUCAGUCAGGAACCUGUUUUCCGGACACUCCCCCACAUAAACAAUUGCUAGCUCAUUAAGGAAUAUUUUAACAUGAAAA
Molecule: RNA transcript, 1458 nt
Organism: Sapajus apella (tufted capuchin)
Lineage: Eukaryota; Metazoa; Chordata; Mammalia; Primates; Cebidae
Gene name: alcohol dehydrogenase class-3 pseudogene
Exons: 1
Source: RefSeq, a predicted model, not a curated record